Long non-coding RNA from Gadus morhua (Atlantic cod), 1635 nucleotides. NCBI's taxonomy places the organism in Eukaryota, Metazoa, Chordata, Actinopteri, Gadiformes, Gadidae. The record is from Ensembl.
CUGAUGUGAGUGCAGUGCUUGUUAAUAAAACCUGUUAAAUAAUUUGUUCAUAGGACAGUCCUGCUAUUCCUCAACAAGGUACAUGCUGAGUCUGGAUCGGAACCUUGUCAACACAAACAUCUCCUCCUUCAUUUCUGCAUUGUGCCUCAUGUUCGGGAGCUACUACAUUUUCAACAUCCAUUAUCCAUCUGAGCUGGCUUCAACUCUGGAGUUCCUUCAAAGGUGAGUAAUCAUGGCUUACUAAUUUCUCAGACCUGAGACUGUGGGACCUGGAGUCUGGCUCAGAGGUUCCCGUCUUAAAGGAGAAUGCCGGCCGUUUGUAAUCAAUAGCCCUGUUGAUUUGAGGCUACAAGUGCUGCAGUAGGAAAAAUAACGUGAACAUUUGGCUCAAUAUUUACCGAGUAUCAGAACGACAGCUAAAGCAAACCUAUUGGGCCAAGCUCCAUUAAGUUUUACUUUUGGUUUGCUUGCCCCCAUAGGUUUGCUUCAGCUGCCGUUCUGAUACUCGGUCAAUAUUGUGCCAAAUGAUCUCGAUAUUUUUUCCUACUGACAGCACUCGUAACAGGGCUAUGGGUUAAAAACGGCACGCAUUCUCCUUUUUAAUCCAGACUUUAACUAACUGGGUCUGUCUCGGCCUUGGCUCUAUAGGUGUGGCCUGAGUCUUGUUCUUGGUUCUUCUUGUACUUAUUUUUUUAAAUGAUAAAUUAAUAUGCUUUAAUAUGCUUUUUUUUUUUACAGGUGUUUCUUCUCGAUAAACCCAGAAAAAGGAACCAAAGUAGAGAGUAAGAACAACAAGCGUCGUCUCAACCUGAACCCUCGAGUCCUCACCCUGAUACAGGAUCUCUCCAAUCAGGAGUGGCGUCAAGCCUAAAUAUGAACUCUAUGUGGACUCUGACUGUUUGUUUGAGAAGAGGUACUGUUAGGUUUCGCUUUGUUAAAUCCACAAUUUUUAUUAUUAUUAAGGCAAAAUAUGUAAUUUCUGUUUUAAAGUCUUGCAAUAUGUACAGGUGCACUAUGUAAUUUUUAUCUGACACCUGCUUGUUUCCAUUUUGUAUAUGUUGGAAAAAAAAAUCAUCCAAUUGUUUAUUGCCGAUGGCUGGUAAAUAAAUUUCCCAAAAGGGAUUUUCCUCUCUUGUCUUUUCUCAAAAUGUAAUUUUGCAUGUUUUGCAGUAGGAGUAUUAGUAAUAAUUUUACAGGUGUAUAAGUACAUUUUACAUUAUAACUUGAUUAUUAAAACAUAAAAAUACAGCAUAUUAUAAAUAGAUUUUAUGUAUAAUAUACAGAACAGCACCAUUUAAAAUACAAAGUUUAACUGCUGUUCUACCAGUUUAAAUUUGUUUUCUGUAUGAUAUUUCCCUGUUAAAUUUACUAAAAAAAUACAGGAAAUAGUCUUUUUAUAUACAACACUGUAAUGCAAAGUUAACAAAACAAUUUUGUAGAAUAAACAGUUUUUUAAUGUGAUUCAGCCGUGAUUCAUUUCACUGUAAAUCAAUUUACAUAUUUCGUUGGUUAAGUUAUCUACUGUGCUGCUGUAUUUUUUACAGGAAUUCUCUGGUAACCACAGCUGCCAGCGAUUCCCUGUAAAAAAUACAAUAUUUUUUUUACAGUGUAGCCUACCACAUCCAUUUAGUUCAA